CUUCCAGUAGCACCUUAGAGACCAACUAAGUUUGUUAUUGGUAUGAGCUUUCGUGUGCAUGCACACUUCUUCAGUAUUUGAAUUACAAACUUAGUUGGUCUCUAAGGUGCUACUGGAAG
Podarcis lilfordi (Lilford's wall lizard) is the source of this 119-nucleotide non-coding RNA. The record is from the annotation of a GenBank genome assembly. NCBI's taxonomy places the organism in Eukaryota, Metazoa, Chordata, Lepidosauria, Squamata, Lacertidae.